RNAcentral lists this small RNA (77 nucleotides) under Xanthomonas codiaei. Its description in RNAcentral is "sX9 sRNA". It matches the Rfam family "Xanthomonas sRNA sX9". Lineage: Bacteria; Pseudomonadati; Pseudomonadota; Gammaproteobacteria; Lysobacterales; Lysobacteraceae. The record is from RNAcentral. RNAcentral also lists the same sequence under 2 other names.
AUGUACUACUCGUGCAGUCCGAUUCCAAGCGCGCAGUCCACACCUACCUGGCGACUGCUCGCUACGUUUUGCUAGCC